UACGAAGGGGGCUAGCGUUGUUCGGAUUUACUGGGCGUAAAGCGCGCGCAGGCGGUCCUUCAAGUCAGGGGUGAAAGCCCAGAGCUCAACUCUGGAACUGCCUUUGAGACUGUAGGACUUGGGUAUGGGAGAGGUGAGUGGAAUUCCGAGUGUAGAGGUGAAAUUCGUAGAUAUUCGGAAGAACGCCAGUGGCGAAGGCGGCUCACUGGCCCAUUACCGACGCUCAGGCGCGAUAGCGUGGGGAGCAAACAGG
RNAcentral lists this ribosomal RNA (253 nucleotides) under uncultured bacterium. RNAcentral's name for it is "partial 16S ribosomal RNA". It matches the Rfam family "Bacterial small subunit ribosomal RNA", at positions 524 to 776 of the family's 1533-position model. The record is from RNAcentral.